UACAGAGGGUGCGAGCGUUAAUCGGAAUUACUGGGCGUAAAGCGCACGUAGGUGGUUUGGUAAGUCGGAUGUGAAAUCCCCGGGCUUAACCUGGGAAUGGCAUUCGAUACUGUCGAACUAGAGUCUGGUAGAGGGUGGUGGAAUUCCAGGUGUAGCGGUGAAAUGCGUAGAUAUCUGGAGGAACAUCAGUGGCGAAGGCGGCCACCUGGACUGAGACUGACACUGAGGUGCGAAAGCGUGGGUAGCAAACAGG
Molecule: ribosomal RNA, 253 nt
Filed under: uncultured bacterium
Lineage: Bacteria
Description: partial 16S ribosomal RNA
Rfam family: Bacterial small subunit ribosomal RNA
Source: RNAcentral